CGUGCCUAACACAUGCAAGUCGAACGAGAACGUUUCCUUCGGGAAGCUAGUAAAGUGGCAGACGGGUGAGUAACACGUGGACAACCUACCCUCGAGUGGGGAAUAACCCUGCGAAAGCGGGGCUAAUGCCGCAUAACACUUCUUUUUCUCUGAAUUUGAAAAUCAAAGAUGGCCUCUGAUUCAAGCUGUCGCUUGAGGACGGGUCCGCGCACCAUUAGCUUGUUGGCGGGGUAAUGGCCCACCAAGGCAACGAUGGUUAGCCGGCCUGAGAGGGUGAACGGCCACACUGGAACUGAGACACGGUCCAGACUCCUACGGGAGGCAGCAGUGGGGAAUUUUUCGCAAUGGGCGAAAGCCUGACGAAGCAACGCCGCGUGAGUGAUGAAGGCCUUCGGGUCGUAAAGCUCUGUCGAUUGGUAUGAAACUUAUGGCAGCUAAUACCUGUCGUAACUGACAGUACCAGUUGAGAAAGCCCCGGCUAACUCCGUG
This 489-nucleotide ribosomal RNA is filed under the name uncultured bacterium. Its description in RNAcentral is "bacterial SSU rRNA". It matches the Rfam family "Bacterial small subunit ribosomal RNA", at positions 43 to 507 of the family's 1533-position model. The record is from RNAcentral.